GACGAACGCUGGCGGCGUGCUUAACACAUGCAAGUCGAACGGAAAGGCCUGCUUUCCCUUGUGGAUUGCGGGUGCUCGAGUGGCGAACGGGUGAGUAACACGUGAGUGAUCUGCCCCCAACUUGGGUAUAAGCCUGGGAAACUGGGUCUAAUUCCCGAUAGGACUGCAGGGUGGUGCCUGUGGUGGAAAACGAUUUUCUAGUGGUUGGGGAUGAGCUCGCGGCCUAUCAGCUUGUUGGUGGGGUAAUGGCCUACCAAGGCGGCGACGGGUAGCCGGCGUGGGAGGGUGGACGGCCACAUUGGGACUGGGAUACGGCCCAGACUCCUACGGGAGGCAGCAGUGGGGAAUAUUACACCGUGAGCGGAAGCCUGAUGCAGCGACGCCGCGUGGGGGAUGACGGCCUUCGGGUUGUAAACUCCUUUCGACCGCGAGGAAGCCACCUGGUUGGAAGGGUGGUGACGGUAGUGGUAGAAGAAGCACCGGCUAACUACGUG
This 494-nucleotide ribosomal RNA is filed under the name uncultured bacterium. RNAcentral describes it as "partial 16S ribosomal RNA". It matches the Rfam family "Bacterial small subunit ribosomal RNA", at positions 28 to 507 of the family's 1533-position model. The record is from RNAcentral.